Molecule: unclassified non-coding RNA, 374 nt
Filed under: Cladosporium sp. OTU_077
Lineage: Eukaryota; Fungi; Ascomycota; Dothideomycetes; Cladosporiales; Cladosporiaceae
Description: sequence contains ITS1, 5.8S rRNA gene and ITS2
Rfam family: 5.8S ribosomal RNA (bases 65-218)
Source: RNAcentral
AGGAUGAACACUUAAAAACUUUUGAGAAAGUGUGCAUUAUGAGUAAAAUAAAUUAAUAAAUGAAAAAAUUUAACAACGGAUCUCUUGGUUCUCGCAUCGACGAAGAACGCAGCGAAAUGCGAUAAGUAAUGUGAAUUGCAGAAUUCAGUGAAUCAUCGAAUCUUUGAACGCACAUUGCGCCCCCUGGUAUUCCGGGGGGCAUGCCUGUUCGAGCGUCAUUUCACCACUCAAGCCUCGCUUGGUAUUGGGCAACGCGGUCCGCCGCGUGCCUCAAAUCGUCCGGCUGGGUCUUCUGUCCCCUAAGCGUUGUGGAAACUAUUCGCUAAAGGGUGUUCGGGAGGCUACGCCGUAAAACAACCCCAUUCUAAGGUGAC